AGCUGGCUGAAGCCGGGCCAAAUCGUCAUAAUUCCCAUGAAAAGGAAUCUCAAUACAUUUGGUCCCCUUCAACCAGCUGU
This 80-nucleotide microRNA precursor is filed under the name Ixodes scapularis (black-legged tick). Its description in RNAcentral is "Isc-Mir-133_pre stem-loop". Lineage: Eukaryota; Metazoa; Arthropoda; Arachnida; Ixodida; Ixodidae. The record is from RNAcentral.